RNAcentral lists this long non-coding RNA (4048 nucleotides) under Gossypium barbadense (sea-island cotton). Its description in RNAcentral is "long non-coding RNA (GBAR_LNC003173)". The record is from RNAcentral. Lineage: Eukaryota; Viridiplantae; Streptophyta; Magnoliopsida; Malvales; Malvaceae.
ACGAAGCCUGCAAGACUUUGGCCCGGAUACAUUUUCAGUGUCUUGCAUAUUUAUUCACAUGUUAACACAUUUCACAUUAGCAAUUUAAUUGCUUCAUUCGAAUAUAAGCACAAAAUGUACACCUACCUUUUAACUUUCGGUUCAAUAAUCAUACACAAGGAACACAUAAUCUUUUCAUUAUCCUAGUUUCACUUUUAAUAACCAUUCGACUAUAUGCCAUAUUCACAAAUUAUUUCACACACAACCUCGAUCAAGUAGGAACAAUAGUCACAAUUCAUCUAUUAUACAAAUAUCCCAUUCUUUGACUUUGUUUCAUAAUAGCAAUUCUGUCACCACAUAUAUACCAUUCAAUUCACAUUCGACUUUAUAAAAACAAGUACAAUAAAAUUGUAUACACAUAUUACACACUUUCACAUCAUCACUUAAUAGUCAUUCGGCCACAUUAUAUACAUAAAUCAUCCAUUUCAUAUUCGGCUUUAUAGCCGAAAUUCAAUAUACUUAUUGCAAUUCGAACUUGUAAACGUCAAAUAAUUACUUAUCAUAUUAUAUAAUCUUAAGCGUGCAGCAAAUCAAAUAUAAUUACUUAAGGACUUACCUCGGAAGACGAUAAUCGGAACGAGACGACUAAUCGACCAUUUUGAUUUUCCCCCCGAUCCAAAUCCGAAUUCUACUUUUGCCAAUCUAAUUAAUAUCAAAAUUAACUCACUUAUUCAACAUUUCAUUAAAUUUUAUCUAAAGACACAUAAUUUGGGCAUUUUGCAUUUUAUCCCCUAACAUUUCACAUUUUUACAAUUUAAUCCCUAUUUCAAAAUAACACAAAUUACUCAAAAUUUCAUCAAACCCAUGUUAGGCCGAAUUUACCUUAGGUCUCUAGCAACCCAUUUCUUUUAUUUAUUUCAUGUUUUGACCCCUCAAUUUACAAAUUUCUAAAUUUAGUCCUUAAUACGCAUUUUUAUCAAAAAUCACUUAAUCAAACAUCAAAGAUUUAUUACUCAUCAUCAAACAACAAGAUACUCAAACAUUCAAUAAUGGCAUCAUCCAAAUACUUUAACAAUUUUAAAAUUAGAGGUACGAGCCAGCUAGAUUACGAAGCAACGAUCUCAAAAACGUAAAAAUUAUUAAAAACCGAGACGACAUGGACUUACAUGCAUGAACAACCAUGGCCGAACCUUCAAAGCUUUGAGAACAUUAUUUUCUUUCUCACAUUCGGCUAUUGAUGAAGAUGAUAGCAUGUAAUUUGGCUUUUGUUUUAUUUUAUUUUAUUAUAAUUACCAAAUACCAUAUUUAACCUUAAUAUACAUUAAUAAUUUCCAUUAUACCAAGCCAUGGAAUUCCACUACCAACAAUUAUGAAAUAAUUACCACUUAAGGACUCCCACUAUUUAAUUCCAUAGCUAUUUAAUAUCUUUAACUUAUAGAACACAACUUUUACGCUUUGCGCGAUUUAGUCCUUUUUGCUUAAUUAACUAUCAAAACAAUAAAAUUUUUCAACGAAACUUUAAUAUCAUCUUAUUGCCACUCCGUAAAUAUUUAUAAAAAUAUUUACGACUCGGAUUAUAGAAAUGAGGUCUCGAUACCUCAUUUUCUAAACCCACUUGACCUUAGGGUCAUACCACUUGAGCUUAAUAAAUCGCUUAUAAAACAAAAAUCACAAUAUCAAAAACCUUUUUUAAACUCACAAUUAACUCAUAAAUAUUAAAUAUAAUAUUUACAAACUUACUCAUCGGAUUUAGUGGCCCCGAAACCACUGUUCUGAUUAACCCUAAAAACGGGUUGUUACAAUUUCACAAAAUCAUUCCAUAAAACUAUAGACCAUAAAAAUAUAAUAAAAAUAUUUUUUCUACAUCGGAUUUGUGGUCCCAAAACCACUGUUCCGAUUAGACCCAAAAUCGGGCUAUUACACGAAACCACUGUUUCGGCUAGACCCAAAAUCGGACUGUUACAUACCACGUCUUUAGACAUACACUGUUUCAUUUAUCUUGUUGGCGAACUCUGCUGAAAGUCUUCUAGAAGACACUAGUUCGCCAUACUACUAGCGAACAGCCUACUUGUGAUGUCCAAACUCCCAGGCCCUAUCUCAGGAUAUUACAUGGCAUACUUAAACAUCGUAGACAAUAAUAGUAUGCUUGGAGUUUGGAACUUACCUAAAACUUUAUCGUUUUCAUAGCUUAUUCCUUUUCUCGAACACCAGAGCUUCCAUUCUCCUAGCAGCAACUUACAACCAAAAAUCUACUGGUUAAACUUGCAUUUCAUCUUAAAAGUUUAAACUUUCAUAUUAUGUAAAACCCUUAAAAUAAUUCUAAAGAUCCAUUACCUCAUGUCUUAAAUUUUAUGUAUACAGAAGGGUUAAGAACCUUACCCGCUUGCUAGUUUCCAUACUUUUUCAUCUUAAUCCUUAUGAAAUCUACUCCUGCAGAGCCUUCCAUGGCCUGCUUUUCUUCAAAACCACUAAAGAAGGUGAAGAGAAAAUCAAAUAAGGUCAGGGAGAAAAAUCAUCCCUAGGAUUUAUUUAUAGCCCUUCUUGCACUAUUAUCAACCUUAGGAGAACCAUUCAUAGCUAAUUAUUAUAUCAACCACUAAGGAACCGGUGGGUUCCAUCCUAACCGAAAUAGGUUUGGUUCUCAACCAUGUCUAGUUUAGUUCCCAGCCUUCCCGUUUCUUUUAAUGGAGGUCACCAACUUGAGAUUUCUUUCAAUUCAGUCCUCCAAUUAUUUCUAAUUUCCAAGUUAUUAGAAAUUUGGGUGUUACAAGUGUAAUAGGCCCAAUUUUCCCGGGCCCAUAAAAAACCAAAACCAAAAUAAAACAAACAAAGAAUUAAAAAAAAACCAAAAACAGUAAAAGUCCAUUGGUCCAAAAAGAUUAUUUACAACUUAUUUAAUCCAAAAAUAAAGGCCCAAAUAUUAAAGAAACCUGUACCCAAAAUCCUAUAGUCCCUUAGCCCAAUUUACAAACGGCCCAAAAGGCCUAAUAGCUUGAAAAUACCAGAAAUCUAAAGGUUUCUAGAACACACUAGUACUGCAAUCGAGCUUUCACGAGGGGUUUUCCUAUGCACGGCUACCACGAGCGGCUUUCUCCGUACGGCCGUUUCUCUACACCUACAAUAGAAUACACGAGAAGAAGCAGUAACAGAAUAUACAGCCAAAUGACAGAAGGAAAAUAUAAUUUUUUAUUUUUCAUUUAUUCUGUAAAUCUGGCUAUAAAAAGCCAUUAUCUGCACCUUGAUUUUUUACGCACACUAAAUCCUAAAAAGUGCUUCGAAAGCAAAUCUAUAAAGGUGAAUUUCUGUUUUCUAGUUGUUUUAGUUUUUCGUUGAAUCAUCUCAUUUUCUUUUUCAAUCUUUCGUUAUUGUAUUUAAAAAUAAAAGGGAAAGCGAAGGACGGGGUCUUACUUUGGGAAUUUGCCAUAGAUUCCUCUUUGCUUCAUUGAAAUCGAAGUCAGAGGAGGGAUCUUGAGGCUACAAAUCGUUUUCAUGGCUCGAAUACUCCUGUUGUCGGCGGCAGCAUGCUAGAUGAAACCCUAAUGGAAUGGGCUGAUAGCUUAGUGUUUUAAAUUAAAUGAUUUGCUGCAUUUUAAGAAGAAAACAAUUGAAAAAGGGGUUUUAACAGCAGUUUCAAAAAUGGCACCGUUUAAUGGGGUAAGGAUCCGCGCGUCAACCCGAUUAGCCGGCCAGAUCCGCACCUUUCUGCUUAAAAUGGGGAAAUUGCGCGCUGGAUCCUUCCUUCCGCGCGAAGCCUACUUUGUUUUUUUUUAAAUUUGGCUCUAUAAUUUGUGCGCCUUUUUAUUUUGGUCCGCGGUUCAGUGCAGCGUUUUCGGCUCAGGAUAUUUCCAAUUCUAGUCCUCGCACAUUUGUGCGCAUGGCGCAUUGAUCCUAUUUUACAAUUAUUUUAUUUGUAAAUUGUUUUUCUUGUUUUUUUUACUGCACAUACAUUUUCUUUUACAUGCUUGAUUAUUGGUUGUGAUAUUUCACAUUGCUUUGAUAAUUGAAUGUUGUUUUAAAAAACAUUAUUAUAAUCUUUUCUCGUUUAUUCUAUCAUUUUAAUAAUUGGUGU